UCCGGUUUGUCACCGGCAGUCUCAUUAGAGUGCCCAACUGAAUGUAGCAACUAAUGACAAGGGUUGCGCUCGUUGCGGGACUUAACCCAACAUCUCACGACACGAGCUGACGACAGCCAUGCAGCACCUGUGUUACGGCUCCCUUUCGGGCACACCCGCACCUCUGCGAGCUUCCUAGCAUGUCAAGGGUAGGUAAGGUUUUUCGCGUUGCAUCGAAUUAAUCCACAUAAUCCACCGCUUGUGCGGGUCCCCGUCAAUUCCUUUGAGUUUUAGCCUUGCGGCCGUACUCCCCAGGCGGUCAACUUCACGCGUUAGCUGCGUUACUAAGGAUGUUAAUCCCCAACAACUAGUUGCCAUCGUUUAGGGCGUGGACUAC
RNAcentral lists this unclassified non-coding RNA (376 nucleotides) under uncultured Gammaproteobacteria bacterium. RNAcentral describes it as "contains 16S-23S intergenic spacer region". The record is from RNAcentral. Lineage: Bacteria; Pseudomonadati; Pseudomonadota; Gammaproteobacteria.